UGUUGAGUGGUGCAAUGGUUAGCAUAUCAGCCUUUGACCCUGAUGAUAUUGGUUCGAAUCCAAUCUCGACAACAA
This 75-nucleotide transfer RNA is filed under the name Niastella sp. HX-2-15. RNAcentral describes it as "tRNA-Gln". It matches the Rfam family "tRNA". Rfam says of the family: Transfer RNA (tRNA) molecules are approximately 80 nucleotides in length. Their secondary structure includes four short double-helical elements and three loops (D, anti-codon, and T loops). Lineage: Bacteria; Pseudomonadati; Bacteroidota; Chitinophagia; Chitinophagales; Chitinophagaceae. The record is from RNAcentral.